This is a long non-coding RNA of Mytilus californianus (California mussel), 762 nucleotides long. RefSeq lists it as uncharacterized. The transcript has 3 exons. The record is from RefSeq and is a predicted model, not a curated record. NCBI's taxonomy places the organism in Eukaryota, Metazoa, Mollusca, Bivalvia, Mytilida, Mytilidae.
AAAAACAUAUAUUCAAGAGAUUUAAAAUACGUCAAUCUUGCUGGUGGUAAUCCUUAAACAAAAUACAUUUAAAUUGUUUUAUGGAAGAAUUAAUACAAUACUACGUAUAUUGUUUUCAUCGAUCAUUGUACGUAUGAUUCAACUUUUGUCAAAUUUGACAAUACAAUUAUAAUAUUUUUAAAGAAACAUUGCGCUAUUUCUGAACUUUGUCACAAAAUGUUGGAAUAAAUCUACUAGAGGAAGAAUACCACAUGAUGACGACCAACGAAGUUGAUAUAAAUUCAGUUAUGAAGGAUAUGAACAAGAUAAAAAGAGCAGACUUGAACGAGUUAAAAUCUCUAGCCUAUCCUCCGAGUGGUGUUAUUAACGUAAUGCAAGCAGUGUGUCUACUUCUAGGGAAUGGCAAGUGUUCCUCUUGGACAGAUUCACAGAAACAGCUCAGUAACCCAAACUCCUUUCUACAAAGACUUAAAAACGUAGACAAAGACAACAUACGGCCUGGUGUAAUGAUUGAAAUACGUAAAAAUUACACAAGUGAUCCAGAAUUCACUGUUGAAAGAAUGAUGAAAAUUUCAAAGGCAGCAGGAGCAUUAUGUAAAUGGAUUAUUGCAAUAGAUCUAUAUGAUAAACAUUUGAAAAAUGCAGCACAGACACAGAAAAAGACGACAGAAAAAACAAACAAAAGUGAAAAGUUUUCUCGGUAUUCUGUAUCAACAUUUGAACAUAUCUGGAAAUACUUAUAAAAUAAAUGGUUUUUAUUUA